Molecule: ribosomal RNA, 208 nt
Filed under: uncultured bacterium
Lineage: Bacteria
Description: partial 16S ribosomal RNA
Rfam family: Bacterial small subunit ribosomal RNA
Source: RNAcentral
CUCGUAGGCGGCCAACUAAGUCAGACGUGAAAUCCCUCGGCUUAACCGGGGAGCUGCGUCUGAUACUGGAUGGCUUGAGUUUGGGAGAGGGAUGCGGAAUUCCAGGUGUAGCGGUGAAAUGCGUAGAUAUCUGGAGGAACACCGGUGGCGAAGGCGGCAUCCUGGACCAACACUGACGCUGAGUGAGCGAAAGCCAGGGGAGCAAACG